Molecule: ribosomal RNA, 429 nt
Filed under: Pseudomonadota bacterium
Lineage: Bacteria; Pseudomonadati; Pseudomonadota
Description: Proteobacteria bacterium partial 16S ribosomal RNA
Rfam family: Bacterial small subunit ribosomal RNA
Source: RNAcentral
UGGGGAAUAUUGGACAAUGGGCGAAAGCCUGAUCCAGCCAUGCCGCGUGUGUGAAGAAGGUCUUCGGAUUGUAAAGCACUUUAAGUUGGGAGGAAGGGCAGUAAGCGAAUACCUUGCUGUUUUGACGUUACCGACAGAAUAAGCACCGGCUAACUCUGUGCCAGCAGCCGCGGUAAUACAGAGGGUGCAAGCGUUAAUCGGAAUUACUGGGCGUAAAGCGCGCGUAGGUGGUUCGUUAAGUUGAAUGUGAAAGCCCCGGGCUCAACCUGGGAACUGCAUCCAAAGCUGGCGAGCUAGAGUAGGGCAGAGGGUGGUGGAGUUUCCUGUGUAGCGGUGAAAUGCGUAGAUAUAGGAAGGAACACCAGUGGCGAAGGCGACCACCUGGGCUCAUACUGACACUGAGGUGCGAAAGCGUGGGGAGCAAACAGG